Molecule: ribosomal RNA, 502 nt
Filed under: uncultured bacterium
Lineage: Bacteria
Description: bacterial SSU rRNA
Rfam family: Bacterial small subunit ribosomal RNA
Source: RNAcentral
AACGAACGCUGGCGGCGUGCCUAACACAUGCAAGUCGAGCGAGAAGUCCCUUCGGGGGCGAGUAAAGCGGCGGACGGGUGAGUAAUACAUGGAUAAUCCUCCCUCGAGCCUGGGAUAACCCUGCGAAAGUGGGGCUAAUACCGGAUAAGACCACAUGACACAUGUCACGGGGUAGAAGGUGGCUUGUAUUUAUAUGAGCUAUCACUUGAGGAUGAGUCCAUGGCCUAUCAGCUAGUUGGUGAGGUAAGAGCUUACCAAGGCUAUGACGGGUAGCUGGUCUGAGAGGACGACUAGCCACACUGGGACUGAGACACGGCCCAGACUCCUACGGGAGGCAGCAGUGGGGAAUAUUGGGCAAUGGGCGAAAGCCUGACCCAGCGACGCCGCGUGGGUGAUGAAGGCCUUCGGGUUGUAAAACCCUUUCGUGCGGAAAGAAUAGUCUCGUAGCGAAUAACUAUGGGAUUUGACGGUACCGCAGGAAGAAGCACCGGCUAACUCCGUG